Molecule: non-coding RNA, 28 nt
Filed under: Mus musculus (house mouse)
Lineage: Eukaryota; Metazoa; Chordata; Mammalia; Rodentia; Muridae
Source: RNAcentral
CCCUCCUGGUUUGCCUUUCUUUACACCC